RNAcentral lists this long non-coding RNA (850 nucleotides) under Linum usitatissimum (flax). RNAcentral describes it as "long non-coding RNA (LUSI_LNC003700)". The record is from RNAcentral. Lineage: Eukaryota; Viridiplantae; Streptophyta; Magnoliopsida; Malpighiales; Linaceae.
CAAUAUUAACAAUCAUUGAACUACUCAAUGAACGGAAGACGACAAAAAAGAGUCAAACUUCACAAGUCGCCCUACUCGACAACUAUUAUCCAGACAACAUAAGAAAACUGAAACAGAUUGGGAACCAAAUAAUCGAGGUUUGUGAACUUUACAUCCAGUAGAUGGAACGGAGCUUCCAUCCCCACUAUUCAUUUCGCCACAAUCUUUCUCGGUUCAACGGGGGAUCGAACGAAAACAAUGUCUCCAGGUUCAAUCUUCCCCAAUCAGUGGCACAAGUGUUCGAUCAAAAGCACGUCCCGGGAGUAAUUCAAAGUGGGGAGCAUGUUAGGCCCCUAAACCUGCACAAAAAAAUAAGAAUUUUUAUCAGUCGAUUGAGGAAUAAGUUGAAGAAAUUGAGAAUUGGGAGAAGGGGGAUUAUGAGAGCGGAAACAAUGUAGUAAUGUGAAGGAAACAAAGAAACUUGGCGGGGAUUGAAGAUUUGGAUGUGGUGUCUUGUGCAAACGAUGAUGAAGAGAGAGAGGAAUUUGCUGACCGACUAGCUUUUUUCAUUCUCCUACGCCGGAGCUGGGAAGAAGGAACGACAUGUAAUUGGUCGGCCAAGCUUUGGAACCGUCCAGAAAGCCGCUGCCGGUACACUUUUCAGUUUACUUUACCCCACUACCGCCGCUAUUAUAUUUCAGAAAGCUUUUUAAUCAAUUGUAGGUUCCGACGGUUCUGUAUCUUCCUCAUCGACGAGUUGAUGCAUGUGGAGAUAGAUACGAGAGAAUGGAUGAUUAGAGUGAGAAGAGUAUAUAGGGUUUAGCAAUUCGGUAAGUUGGGGUUCGCCUGAGAUUUAUUCCUUCAAGAUGUG